Transfer RNA from Loxodonta africana (African savanna elephant), 72 nucleotides. It matches the Rfam family "tRNA". From Rfam's summary of the family: Transfer RNA (tRNA) molecules are approximately 80 nucleotides in length. Their secondary structure includes four short double-helical elements and three loops (D, anti-codon, and T loops). The record is from Rfam. NCBI's taxonomy places the organism in Eukaryota, Metazoa, Chordata, Mammalia, Proboscidea, Elephantidae.
GCCCUGAUGGCUCAAUGGUUAAGUGCUUGGCUGCUAACCAAAAGGUGGGUGGUUGGAACCCACUCAGUGGCU